This 460-nucleotide ribosomal RNA is filed under the name uncultured bacterium. RNAcentral's name for it is "partial 16S ribosomal RNA". It matches the Rfam family "Bacterial small subunit ribosomal RNA", at positions 338 to 795 of the family's 1533-position model. The record is from RNAcentral.
CCUACGUGUGGCAGCAGUGAGGAAUAUUGGUCAAUGGGCGCGAGCCUGAACCAGCCAAGUAGCGUGAAGGAUGACUGCCCUACGGGUUGUAAACUUCUUUUAUAAAGGAAUAAAGUGCGGCACGUGUGCCUUUUUGUAUGUACUUUAUGAAUAAGGAUCGGCUAACUCCGUGCCAGCAGCCGCGGUAAUACGGAGGAUCCGGGAGUUAUCCGGAUUUAUUGGGUUUAAAGGGAGCCUAGAUGGGUUGUUAAGUCAGUUGUGAAAGUUUGCGGCUCAACCGUAAAAUUGCCAUUGAUACUGGCAGUCUUGAGUACAGUUGAGGUAGGCGGAAUUCGUGGUGUAGCGGUGAAAUGCUUAGAUAUCACGAAGAACCCCGAUUGCGAAGGCAGCUUACUAAACUGCCACUGACAUUGAUGCUCGAAAGUGUGGGUAUCAAACAGGAUUAGAUACCCGAGUAGUC